AUUGAACGCUGGCGGAAUGCUUUACACAUGCAAGUCGAACGGCAGCACGGACUUCGGUCUGGUGGCGAGUGGCGAACGGGUGAGUAACAUAUCGGAACAUAUCCAAUAAUGGGGGAUAACUAAUCGAAAGGUUGGCUAAUACCGCAUACGCCCUACGGGGGAAAGCAGGGGAUCUUCGGACCUUGCGUUAAUGGAGCGGCUGAUAUCUGAUUAGCUAGUUGGUGAGGUAAAGGCUCACCAAGGCGACGAUCAGUAGCUGGUCUGAGAGGACGACCAGCCGCACUGGAACAGAGACACGGUCCAGACUCCUACGGGAGGCAGCAGUGGGGAAUUUUGGACAAUGGGCGAAAGCCUGAUCCAGCCAUUCCGCGUGAGUGAAGAAGGCCUUCGGGUUGUAAAGCUCUUUCGCAAGGGAAGAAAACUUACUUUCUAAUAAAGAGUGAGGUUGACGGUACCUUGAUAAGAAGCACCGGCUAACUACGUGCCAGCAGCCGCCGUAA
Molecule: ribosomal RNA, 500 nt
Filed under: uncultured bacterium
Lineage: Bacteria
Description: partial 16S ribosomal RNA
Rfam family: Bacterial small subunit ribosomal RNA
Source: RNAcentral